Long non-coding RNA from Balaenoptera musculus (blue whale), 763 nucleotides. RefSeq lists it as uncharacterized. The record is from RefSeq and is a predicted model, not a curated record. The transcript has 5 exons. NCBI's taxonomy places the organism in Eukaryota, Metazoa, Chordata, Mammalia, Artiodactyla, Balaenopteridae.
CAUACCUGUCCCUGCAGCGCCACCUAUGGGCUGUCAGGAAUACAGCGGGUUCUUCUGGAGCGGAGGUAUGCAUUUUUGGCAAGAAUAACACAGAAGUGAUUCUAUAUUCCUCUCAGUGCAUCAUAUCAGAAGGCACAUGAUGCUGACUGCUCUCAUUAACUGGCUUUGGGUCCACGAUCUUCCAUUCAAGAUAUUUGGCUACCUCUCCAGCUGUCAAAGAAGAAGAAAAGCAAGUCAGCUGUACACUCAGCUAUUACUCAAUGAGCAGGUCCAGGCUGAAGACAGAAUUCCGUGGCACCACAGACUCUGGGCUGAUACUGAUUCAUAAUUAGCAUCUGUCUUUGUGAUCUCUGGGCCACAUUCCUCCACCUUGUUCACAAGAGCUUGUUCUGUACCCAGUGACAGCUAAAAAAAAAAAAAAAAAAAAAAAAAAAAUGAAGUUGCCUGGCUGACAACCGCUGGGUUAGCUGGGCCAAGGAAAGAAGAGGUGGUAUCCUUGGAAGAAGGCAGCCCUUUCCCACCUCCUGGAUCUCUAAGUGCAUCACAUGAAUUUCUGCAAAGGCACUGAUGAUGGCUUUGAGGAAUAAAUAUUGCAGAUGGAUCAAAUCAAAGAAUCAAAUUUCAAAGCUGGAUUAAGAGUCGUGGAAAAAAAAGAGAAGCAGAAAUGAGGGAAAAAGAGAAGUACAAAAGUAAAAUGAGCAGUUGAUUAUUGAAAAGAAAAUCUUCUGCUGUUUGAAUAAAGACCAAAGGGCUUUCAUUGUCA